GCGUAUGAAAGACAUCUAUGACAAAGGUCAUCGUGAAUUAUCUUUCUCUCCUAGCUCUUUUGCUUGGCUUCGCCUGCAACCAUAUCGUCAAGUAUAUUGGAGCUAAAAGAUCUACCAAAUUGGGACCUCGGUUCUAUGGUCCUUUUAGAGUUUUACGUGCUGUGGGUUCCGUUGCUUAUCAGUUAGAAUUACCCCUUGGAUAGUAAAAUCCAAGAUGUGUUUCAUGUGCACUUACUUAGGGCAUUUAAAG
RNAcentral lists this unclassified non-coding RNA (250 nucleotides) under Hevea brasiliensis (rubber tree). The record is from RNAcentral. Lineage: Eukaryota; Viridiplantae; Streptophyta; Magnoliopsida; Malpighiales; Euphorbiaceae.